Molecule: non-coding RNA, 5339 nt
Organism: Drosophila melanogaster (fruit fly)
Lineage: Eukaryota; Metazoa; Arthropoda; Insecta; Diptera; Drosophilidae
Source: Ensembl
CUCAUUCAUUCCCAUUCGCAUUCGUGGCGAGGCAUCGCGAGCGGCAGCAGCAAAUCAUCAGAACAGCGGCGCAGUUCACCUUUUUGGCAAGUCAUUGCGAAAGUGACCCAGUUCUGCAUCUGGCCAGCAUCAGCCGCAUCUCAUCCGAGCAUCCCACUGCAUCCUACCUAAGAUACCCGAAACAUAAGCAUCCACAGUUCAUUGAUAGCGCGUGCUGGCAGCUACUUCCUGGUAUCCUGGCAAUUUAUCCACGUUUAUGGUCCCGGAUAAAACGCAUUCUAAUUUCGGGCCAUAAACCAUAGACGCCUUUCCUAUUCCGCUUAACCCUUUCGCUUGGCCAAGUGUAUCUGCGAGUGCCUGUGUGUGUGUGUCCGUGUGCGAGUGUGUGCCAAUCCGUGAGAGUGUAUGUGUGUGAGCCAGGCUCAUUAUUGCGUGUCAUAAAAGGACGAUUGUCUCGUUUCUCAAUGAAUGUUUUGCUCAAUUAAGAUCUACCUGAGCGGGAGGAAAAGCGGGGAAUUUCCGCAUUACUUUUCCAUUUGUCAAUGCAGCAGUUCUUUCUCCUCUCACUUUUUUGUAGCCUUCAUCUAGGCGCUGAGACAUUGAAUUUUUGAAAUUAUCAAUGAAAUGUAAUGAAACAUUUCGCUUGUGGGAGAAAUCACAUUUUUAUGAUCGCCCCAUUUCCGAGUAAUUAUAAUGACUAAUGACUUAUGUCAUAUAGAGCCGUUUCCCCUUCACAAAAGCACUACUGAGUAAUAUUUUUAUCAUAUUCAAGAUUAUCUUCAAAUUGUUUGAAUAAUUGUUUACAAUAACCAUGGGUUAGAUAAGAUUGAGAGAUAAGCGAAACUGAAUCAGGAAAAAAUCUUUCGCUCAACAAUGGUAUUCAUAAUAUUUAACCUGUUUAACAUUGUUUGGCUUGCCACUCGGAUAUCUAUAUCCCAUCGUGAUGAUCAUUAAACAUCAAACACUUUCGGUGACUGAGCACAUAUGUACUCAAAUCCUUAUGUGCACUUCUAAUAACCGUAAUGUGCUUAAAUAUUUAAUAUUUUUAUUGUAUUUCACAGGCAAUUCAAGUGGCUUUGGCUCAUUAAUGUUUGCCGUGUGGGCGUUGGGUUGGUAGGUAUUUUUGUUGUUCAGAGCGCAUCAAAUGUGUGCUUUUUUGGCGUAGACUCUCUGCAAAUAGUAAUGCCAGGCAGUCCAAAAAUGUGUACUUAUUUACCUUUAGUCAUUUAUCUAUUUAUUUAUUUGCUUUAAAAGCGCGCCACUGUAGGUCGGAUUCACAUGGCGAUUUACAUUGCGAUUCGGAUUCAGAUUGGCUGCCUUUUUGAUACAGUCGGAUGUAUUCGGCUCUAAGCCAUGGUCAAACUUUUUAAUUAGUUUCAAUUGUUGGCGCCCAACGCAUCCCCAAAUGGUUAUUUAUGGAAAAUAUUUGCUUUACUACUUUUUUGCCGCUUUGUUUUGAUUUUCGUUGAUAUGGCUUUAAAAUGCUGCGCUUUCUGUUUGUUUUAAGCAUUUAUGUGACGCAUGCGCCGUGUGGCAAUGACUUUACAAAAUCAUAUACAUAUAUAUCAACCGGAGAAUUUGACCAACAUUUCUCAGAUAGAUGACGUCCGCAGCUGUAUCUGUUUCUAUAUCUAUAUCGGCGUGGUGGCAUAAUACGAAUAAUAUUUAUUUUUAUUGUUAUUAUUGGUUAUUGUUGAUUUAUUUGUUUGAACAAUAUUUUCGCACAAAUUAAAAUGCCCGGCCACCAUGGGACAUCGGACGAUGGACAUCCAUAUCAAUGUCGUUUAAACGGUUUUCGUUGUCUUAUUUGCUUUGUAUUUUUUGGCUUAACCCAAUUAUCGGGGCUCAUUUGUGAUUAUUUAACCAUUUGCAACAGCAGCAACAGAUGAUCGCAAAGUUCUAAUAUGCAGCGCAAACAAUUCGAGAUCUUGCAGUGUUUCAUAAAGUUUACUUAACGAUUCUGCUUGGGAUAAUUAAAUGGAUAUACUGUAUAGAGAAUCUUGGGAGUGUAUGCAAAUUAAAGAAGGGGUUGUCGCCAAUUAAAAAAAAUAUAUAUAUUUUGUUUAUGUCACUCAAUUCUAAAAAAAAAAAAAAAAAAAACUGCAGAUUAUCCGGUUUACGCUGGCAUUUAAAUCUUGUUUCGGCUCUUUUCAACUAAUUUGCAUUAACUUUUCCAUAAAAUUCAUUAAACAAAUUUUAGUUUGCAUUAUUGAAUUCUUCUUUUUUAUGUUUUUUGUUUUCGUAGAUAUACUCUUGUGUUUUACUUUUGUUGCUUUUGCUCUAAAUAGACCAAACAGCAAAUUGUUUGCCCAGCUAAGAUUAGAUAGAAAGUUUUAUUUUAGAUUUCAAUAUUCAAUUUAGAAUUGCCGCUUUUUAUGGGGCAUUUUGAGUUUGGGGUGUAUUUUGCUAUGGAUCUAUGAAUCGGUAUGCGUAUCCGUAUCUGUAUCUGCGGCUGCGUGUGUAUCUUGUUCUUUGUACUGCGUGUGCCGUAAUGAGCGUAACCAUAAAAGCGUCUUUUGUUUUACGACCGCAUUGCGCGCGUGUUUACCAUAGAAAACAAUGCCAAUUUUAUGGCUGCCCCGGCCACGCAGACAAUGGCCCAAAGAACCGCAUCCCGACAGUCCAGCAUCCAGCGAUAUAGGUAGUAUAUAGGGCUCCUUAUGUACCUGGAGCCAAAGGUGAUGGCGAAACUAGAGCGAAUGGGUCGAAAGGGUGUUGGCGAGCGGGACGCUGCAUUAAUUAGAACACUGCGGAUAUGUGCAUGUAUGUAUGGGUUUCAGGAUCGAAAUUACUUUCUUCGGGGCCAUAAAGCGGCUCUUAUCUAAAUUAGGAUGUUGCUUGUUUGCGGCUGUGUCUGCACAACAUCGCCGUUUUCACUAUUUGCGUAGGUGUUUCAUUUCCGUUUCACAAUUUAUCUGGCGAGUGUGUUUGCCGGCACACUCAGCCGAGUAGCGCACCUUUAGCCGCCUCAAGAUUUUCCUCUUUCCCUACUUUCACAUGUGAUUUUCCCUCGCGGCCUUAUCAGUUUUUGGCGCGUCAGCCGUCGUCAUCGUGAUUCACAUUUUUUCCUCCCUGGCCGCCGCUGUUUGCACUCGAAACAGUGACAGUAACCGAAAAAUGCACUUUUAAAAGGGCCCCCGUACUCGGGGUUCGAAUCGGACGAUGCAGUUUGAGAAUCGAGGGAAUUUGGCGCAUUUGGGGUGCGUGCCUUAUCGCUGGGGAGCCCAUGGGGCUACGACUCUAGAUAUCGCAUAAAUCAGAGCCUAGUCGCGCUUUUGCUUGAUUAUUUCCAUUUUAUCUAUUUGGCUGCGGGUGGCUAUAAAGUUUCUGGUUUUUAUCUUUGUGCAAACACGGGAAAGCAGUGAUAUUAAGGCCCUGGCGACCUUAUUUCCACCGGCCACCAAGAAAACAGCGAAUUCUAUUCUUUUAAUUAGGAAUCCGCAGAAGAGGUGGAACCCCUCAAAGGCAACCCAAACAGAGGAAUUUCAUUUUAAUUUGUAGGGUAAAUAGAAAAUAGACGCCAUCUUUUAAAUUAUGUAAGAAUUUUUUCAAAACCAAAAUAGAAGUUAAUAAGUGCCACUGUUUGACUUUAAUUAAUUAUUACUUAUAAUUAUUUAUUUCUGAACUCCAGUAAUCUUAUGCAAAUAUUUAAUAUAAGAAUACAUUGUAGUUAAAAUAGGUACCACUUUGGCCGAUUGUUCCUAAUUUGUUUAUCCUAAUUUCACAGCAAAUUUUUUAACCCAUGUUUAUCCGAUCUUAAGUAAUUUUCCAAACAAAUUAUAUUUUGGCUCGAAUCGCUCCAAUCGAUAUAGUUGAUUAGAACCCCGAGAGCCGGUUUUCUCCCACCAAACCAGUUUAUGCAACCCCAAACUUUAGCUGGGAUUUCGAGAGUGACCACCACCAUAUUGAUCAUGCGAAAGAAUGUUUUGUUCAGCUCCCGUCCGAAGAUACAGAUUUCUUCUAUCCACUCCUCUCAAAAUACCCAUGCAACUUAGCACCAGGCUGCUAAUUACAUAUUCGUUGCCUGAAAAAUUAACUUUCCAGCGGCGAACAUUGUAGCAUGCCAGUGGCGACAACGAGACUGCUGCCAGUUUUAUAAAGUCCCCGCUGUGUUUUUUAUCUACCUAUCUGACUAUCCGACUAUCUAACUAUCUAACAAUAUGUUAUGAACUGAGCCUGGGCCCAGAAGCCGCCCAUUUCAAUGACGAGCGUUGCGUUGCGGCAGCCGAAAAGCUGUCAAAUUGUCGAAAAAAUUAUUGUUAUCUUGCUGCGCGUUAUUGAGUGGCCGUGUUCACACGCAGCUCCAGCUCAAGAUACAGAUACAGCUACAAAGAUACAUUUGUAUCUACACAUGUCCGUACAAACAAUUCAAUUAAUUGUUGUAGAGCGGAAUAUGUCACAUCGGAGGGAUAUGGAUGGCUAGCUUUGGACUGGGCAUAUAGUUUUUUUUUUCGGGGGGGCUGUAAGCCCAAACUCUUCGGUAGUUUAUUGAUUUACAAGCUGGGGCCCCCGUAUCGCAGAUAGAUGCAGGUUUAUGGGUGGCGUCCACUUGGGGCUCCAGUAGUACAACCAUAACCAUAGCUAUCACUACAGCUGGAACUGGAACUGGAACCGACUUAUCGCAGUGGCGUUGUGAUUUUUUGAGUGUCGAAACGCCAAAGCAAAUAUGAUUGGAGUUUUAUUUACUCUGGCCCGUCCGAUUGGGUCUUAAUUACUUCCGAAAACAAUGACAACCGAUGACCAGUGGCGAUACGAGCCCCGUCGCCGAGCAUUAAUCAAUUUACAACGAGAUUUAAGCAAUGACAUCGGUAAAUAAUAAAAUAAAUACAAUUUGAAUACCGGUUUGCCAUUUUCUGGCUAUCAUUCAUAAACUUUUGUGCGGCCUGACAUGAAAAUUAGCUCUUCAGCCAAGGCAGACAGCGCAGCGAUCUCCGAGAUCUCGUAGAUCGGAGAUCGCAGAUCGGAGUCGUCUAAAGCUGGAACUCCGAUCGCUGAAGAGCUCCAGACUCCGGAGUUCGAGUUGGCGAUGGAGAUGGAGACCUGAAGAGCAUGGCUGUUGAUCACGGUGAUGACUGCGUAAAAACGAAAAGUAAAAACACCAAACUGGCACACAGCUUCGGAUGCUUGAGAUGUGUUGCCCGUUUGUGUUAAUCCCAUCAAGACCCAGCACAUUAUGAAGUAGCAACACCAGCAACAAUAGCACCAGCACUACCACAAACAUGGAAACAGCACAAACUGGAGCUGCACUGAAAGAAAUAUAGUUCAUUAGAACCACUUAAUACUAAUACUAAAUGUAUCUAUAUUUGAACCAUUACCUUACGCCGAAGUAGGAUAGCUGC